Molecule: long non-coding RNA, 523 nt
Filed under: Cottoperca gobio
Lineage: Eukaryota; Metazoa; Chordata; Actinopteri; Perciformes; Bovichtidae
Description: lncRNA (ENSCGOG00000002123.1)
Source: RNAcentral
AAUAUAAUGUUGCUAUGCCAUGCCAUGUUACAUUUCUUUUAGCCUAUAUUAGUUUACAUUUUGGGAAAGUGGCAACAUUAAAAUUAUGCCGAAUUAGUUAUCAGUUCAUGUUUACAUGGAUUACUUUGAUACUGAAAAGAAAACUUAAAAACCAGAUGAUUCUCAGGCAACUUCUGGAGUUAUAAGGGGCGCCUUUUUUCUGUGAUUUCUAAGCAGUGGACGUUAACUCGCAAUGAGACCAAACACAAUUAUAUCUUCUGAAAGUGAUGCUGGCUAUCUUAGCUUCACAUGUCUGGCAUUGUUUGAAAACUUCUGCUACACUAAUGGACACAGAGCUACGGAGGUUUCCUGUCGGAGUUGCCAGGUGCUGUGUUUACGGAGACCGUCGCCUGGCAACGCAUUCCAAACAGUAUUAGGAUAUGAGGACAAGGGAGCAGUGGCGAGUGUCGUGUUUUCAGCAGCAGGAGCCUCAUGGCGGCGACAGCAGGGUGGCACUGUAAACAACCAUCACACCUCUGUGUGA